Bombyx mori (domestic silkworm) is the source of this 670-nucleotide long non-coding RNA. RefSeq lists it as uncharacterized. The record is from RefSeq and is a predicted model, not a curated record. The transcript has 2 exons. Lineage: Eukaryota; Metazoa; Arthropoda; Insecta; Lepidoptera; Bombycidae.
GCUGCCGACAAGGGUGUUUACCGGUCGCCACAUUUACUGAUGGUAGGACCUCUUGUGAGUCCGCGCGGGUAGAUACCACCGCCCUGCCUAUUUCUGCCGUGAAGCAGUAAUGGGGUAAUGAAGUGAAGCAGUGAUGAGGGGUGGGGCAGCCGUUGUAACUAUAAAGGUGGGUGGCGGCAUUUACGUUGUAGUCGCUAGGGGCUCCAGUAGCCACUUAACACCAGGUGGUCUAUGAGCUCGUCCACGCAUCUAAGCAAUAAAAAAACGUGAGAGUGCCAGUAUCCCUUCCAAACCACCCCACCCCCCCCAGUCUGGAAGCAUUCUAUGUAGCAAAUCAAUUUGUUUUUCAAUUUGUUUUUUUGGUCUUCAACAGACUUAGAUAAAAAUCUAUGUACAUAUAUAAUAAGAUAAGAUAAAAUAUUGUAAUUUGAACGAAUAAGUUUAUAAGAAUUGUUGUUGUCCAACAUGCAUAUAAUAUUAAGAUACUGGGGUGGUCAUGUGGAUGUGUUCAUCGUCAAAGCUGACAUUCUUGGCGCUAACAUUGUCCAUCAAUUAAAACACAACAUUCAUCAGACUCACAAGCGAUAAGUCCAACAGAAUUGCUAUUACUAAUUUCUUCAGCCACGCAGCCAUAACAACUUUAUUAAUUAAAACUACUUCAGAUAUUUAA